This 490-nucleotide ribosomal RNA is filed under the name uncultured bacterium. RNAcentral describes it as "partial 16S ribosomal RNA". It matches the Rfam family "Bacterial small subunit ribosomal RNA", at positions 30 to 507 of the family's 1533-position model. The record is from RNAcentral.
AUUGAACGCUGGCGGCAGGCCUAACACAUGCAAGUCGAACGGUAACAGGAAGAAGCUUGCUUCUUUGCUGACGAGUGGCGGACGGGUGAGUAAUGUCUGGGAAACUGCCUGAUGGAGGGGGAUAACUACUGGAAACGGUAGCUAAUACCGCAUAAUGUCGCAAGACCAAAGAGGGGGACCUUCGGGCCUCUUGCCAUCGGAUGUGCCCAGAUGGGAUUAGCUAGUAGGUGGGGUAACGGCUCACCUAGGCGACGAUCCCUAGCUGGUCUUAGAGGAUGACCAGCCACACUGGAACUGAGACACGGUCCAGACUCCUACGGGAGGCAGCAGUGGGGAAUAUUGCACAAUGGGCGCAAGCCUGAUGCAGCUAUGCCGCGUGUAUGAAGAAGGCCUUCGGGUUGUAAAGUACUUUCAGCGGGGAGGAAGGGAGUAAAGUUAAUACCUUUGCUCAUUGACGUUACCCGCAGAAGAAGCACCGGCUAACUCCGUG